AUGUACACAUAUCCAUUCUUUUUCAGAGGGGCCAGUCCAACUCAAAGAAUCAUUUUUUUUUUUUCCUUCUUGAAGGAGUUAGGCUCCUGUGAAUCCUACAAAGCCGAGGCUGCUGACCAGAGCACUCAUUCAAGUUAUCUGAGUGGGAUGAUCAAAUUUUUGAAGAUUUCUCUGUGAGAGAUUUCCUAUUAGUUCCAAUCCACACUGAUGACCUAGGAAGAUGCCAGCAAGAAAGAAUUAAGCACAUUUGAUGAAUUGCAAAAAUGACACCCCAGUCUUUAUUUCUUGGAGACUAAUGGAACACGUUAAGCACCCCAGAUGUCUUAAUCUCUACCCUAAAGGAAAAUGUGUUGGGUGAAAUAUGUCCACAAUAAAUAUGUAGAAACUUAGUCUACA
Molecule: long non-coding RNA, 396 nt
Filed under: Sus scrofa (pig)
Lineage: Eukaryota; Metazoa; Chordata; Mammalia; Artiodactyla; Suidae
Description: lncRNA (ENSSSCG00025044548.1)
Source: RNAcentral